AGGGCGCACGGAGGAUGCCUAGACAACAAGAGCCGAAGAAGGACGUGAUAAGCUGCGAAAAGCUAGGACGAGUUGCACAUUAGCGUUGACUCCUAGAUAUCCGAAUGGGAAAACCUAUAUACUUGAAGAGUAUAUACGAAAGAGGUAAGUGGGCGAACUGAAACAUCUAAGUAGCCUGAGGAAAAUAAAGUAAAAACGAUUCUCUAAGUAGCGGCGAGCGAACGGGGAAGAGCCUAAACCAUGGUAGUGUUAAAGUUGGCACGUUGCUAUUAUGGGGUAGAGGGAUAGUUGAUUGACGGAUAGCCAUGAAGUCGACAAAUUAAAUGACGUAAGAGGAACACAACUGGAAAGUUGGACCGAAGAAGGUGAUAGUCCUGUAGAUUGUAAAAUCAUUUAAAUGUUUUAACUAAUCCCGAGUAGUAUCGGACACGAGGAAUCCGGUGUGAAUCAGCGAGGACCAUAUCUCGUAAGGCUAAAUACUCUUGUUGAUCGAUAGAGAAUAGUACCGUGAGGGAAAGGUGAAAAGAACCCUGAGUAAGGGAGUGAAAUAGAACCUGAAACCGUGUGCUUACAAACGGUAGGAGCCCUUCGGGGUGACUGCGUGGAUUUUGGUUAAUCAUCCUGCGAGUUAUGAUGUGUGGCAAGGUUAAGUAAACGGAGCCGAAGGGAAACCGAGUCUUAAUAGGGCGAUAAGUCGCAUGUCAUAGACGCGAAACCUAGUGAUCUAGGCCUGUCCAGGUUGAAGCUGGGGUAAGACCCAGUGGAGGACCGAACUCACCACCGUUGAAAAGUUGGGAGAUGAGAUAGGUUUAGGGGUGAAAAGCCAAUCGAACUAGGAGAUAGCUCGUUCUCUCCGAAAUGCAUUUAGGUGCAGCCUUAAUAAAGAUAUAUGGGGGUAGAGCUCUGUAUGGCCUAGGGGGCGUAUAGCUUACCGAAGUCAAGCAAACUGCGAAUACCAUAUAUUAAUUAUUAGGAGUGAGUCCAUGGAUGACAAGGUCCAUGGACGAGAGGGAAACAGCCCAGACCAUCAGCUAAGGUCCCAAAUUAUGUCUAAGUGGGGAAGGAGGUGGAUACUCACAAACAACCAGGAGGUUGGCUUAGAAGCAGCCAUACCUUUAAAGAGUGCGUAAUAGCUCACUGGUCGAGAGUAUCUGCGCCGAAGAUUUAACGGGGCUAAGACAUAAACCGAAGCUAUGGAAACUAGAUUUAUAUCUAGUUUGGUAGGAGAGCGUUCUGUAAGCCGUAGAAGGUGUACUGUAAGGUAUAUUGGAGGUAUCAGAAGUGAGAAUGCAGGAAUGAGUAGCGAGAAAGAGAGUGAGAAUCUCUCUGGCCGAAAGUCCAAGGUUUCCAGAGGAAGGUUUGUCCGCUCUGGGGGAGUCGGGACCUAAGUCGAGGCUUAAAAGCGUAGGCGAAUGGAAAAUAGGUUAAUAUUCCUAUACCACUAUAUAAACGUUAUUAGAGAUGGAGUGACGCAGGAAGGUAUGUGAGAAGGGCGACGGUUGUCCCUUUCUAAGGAAGUAGUGUGAACAUGGAGGCAAAUCCACAUGUUUAAACAUGAGAUCUUAUGGGUAAGUAGCUUAGGCUAUAAGUCACAAAUCCUAUACUGCCGAGAAAAACUUCUAUUGAGAUUAUGUAGUGCCCGUACUGUAAACCGACACAGGUGGACUGGGUGAGUAACCCGAGGCCGACAGGAUAACUCUAGCUAAGGAACUCUGCAAAAUGGCCCCGUAACUUCGGGAGAAGGGGUACCUAUGUUAUGUGAUAAGAUAAACACUUUGAGCAGAAAUAGGUCGCAGUGAAGAGUCCCAAGCAACUGUUUACCAAAAACACAGGUCUAUGCUAAGCUGAAAGGCGACGUAUAUGGGCUGACACCUGCCCAGUGCUGGAAGGUUAAGAGGAGGAUUGAGAGAUUCGAAUUGAAGCCCCAGUGAACGGCGGCCGUAACUAUAACGGUCCUAAGGUAGCGAAAUUCCUUGUCGGGUAAGUUCCGACCUGCACGAAUGGUGAAAUGAUUUGGGAGCUGUCUUGGCUGGAGACCUGGUGAAGUUGUAAUGUCGGUGAAGAUACCGAUUACCUGCAGUAGGACGGAAAGACCCCGUGGAGCUUUACUGUAGCUUGGCAUUGGGUUUUGGCAAUGUGUGUAUAGGAUAGUUGGGAGACUAUGAUACUAGGGCGCAAGUUUUAGUGGAGUCAAUGGUGGAAUACCAACCAUAUAUUGUCGGAAUUCUAAUCAUUGGUUUGUAGCCAAUGAGACAGUGCUAGGUGGGCAGUUUGACUGGGGCGGUCGCCUCCUAAAGAGUAACGGAGGCGUUCAAAGGUUCGCUCAGCUUGAACGGAAAUCAAGCAAAAGAGUGCAAACGCAGAAGCGAGCCUAACUGCGAGACUGACGGGUCGAGCAGUAACGAAAGUUGGAGUUAGUGAUCCGGCGGUAUGUGAGUGGAAAUGCCGUCGCUCAACGGAUAAAAGCUACCCUGGGGAUAACAGGCUGAUCUCCCCCAAGAGUCCACAUCGACGGGGAGGUUUGGCACCUCGAUGUCGGCUCGUCUCAUCCUGGGGCUGAAGUAGGUCCCAAGGGUUGGGCUGUUCGCCCAUUAAAGAGGCACGCGAGCUGGGUUCAGAACGUCGUGAGACAGUUCGGUCCCUAUCCACUGCAGGCGUUAGAAUAUUGAGAAGAUCUGUCCUUAGUACGAGAGGACCGGGAUGGACAAACCUCUGAUGUACCAGUUGUCACGCCAGUGGCAUCGCUGGGUAGUCACGUUUGGAAUGGAUAAUCGCUGAAAGCAUCUAAGUGAGAAGCCAACUUCAAGAUGAGUAUUCUUUUUAAGUCUCCUUCGAGACCAGGAGGUUGAUAGGCUGGGGGUGUAAGUGCAGCAAUGUAUUUAGCUGACCAGUACUAAUAUGACGUUAGCUUUUUAA
RNAcentral lists this ribosomal RNA (2916 nucleotides) under metagenome. RNAcentral's name for it is "bacterial LSU rRNA". It matches the Rfam family "Bacterial large subunit ribosomal RNA". The record is from RNAcentral.